Molecule: long non-coding RNA, 805 nt
Organism: Mauremys reevesii (Reeves's turtle)
Lineage: Eukaryota; Metazoa; Chordata; Testudines; Geoemydidae
Exons: 3
Source: RefSeq, a predicted model, not a curated record
UGCAUAUCUGAAGAGAUAUUAGAGCAACAAGUGGUGUCACUCUUCCCUCCACGUUGUGUUCUUCUGUUGUGGUCCCUAAUGACUCUUUGUACAUAAUGAUUAUUAAAGGUCACUUUAAAAAAAAACAACAACUUCUUCUAAGGUAAAGAACAGGUGCACCAGUGCCAGAGGCUCCUGCAAUGGCAGGGAUUUGAUUAAGUGACAUAUACUCAGAAGUUCCCAGAAAGCCACCCAUGUUCCAUGCUACAGAGGAAAGUGAACUCCAUCUCCCCAAGGUCACUGUCAAUCUGACCCGAGUGAACAUUCCUCGCUGGCCCCACAUAUGGGUGGUGAUGAGUAAGAUCUUGAUCAUGUGAGCAAGACCACCAGCCAAGCACCUGAGAAAGGGAAUUUCAGAACCACCUCACAGCAUUGGUCUACUCUAAGCAGUGUCCCAACUCCAGCUGUGGCAAUUGCUGAUGCUUCAGAGGAAGAAGACAAACCAACACCCCAAAACCCAGAAUAUAUUGAGGAAAAAAUGUCAUUCCUGACUCCUAGAGUUGAUCGGCUGAAGCCAUGAAGCCUGAAGUCAUUUAUUGAUUCUGUUGUACAUGGGAUUUCAUAAGGUGGACUCAUUUGAAAAUAUUUAAUGGAGACAAAUAACAACCAUUUGUGGUAUUUAUAAUAAUCAAACACACACACACUAGUAAUACCUACUGUAUAUUUCCCCAGUCUGAUCUGUUAACCAAGGUGAGAACAGGUGCUUUGUUUCUGGCAAGACUUGUAACUAUAUCUUGUAUAACAUUUUCUAUUGCUCCAAGGAUCU